Molecule: long non-coding RNA, 1198 nt
Filed under: Homo sapiens (human)
Lineage: Eukaryota; Metazoa; Chordata; Mammalia; Primates; Hominidae
Description: HSALNT0327084
Source: RNAcentral
UCUUGCCUUCCUGUGUGAGUCAGCGUGGCUGCCCUUGUGCACGCCAGGCUCCUGUCUGUGCUCCGGGGCCUGUUUCCUGGCCUCCCCAGAUGAGGAAACUGAGGCACAAAAAGGUGAAGUCCUGAGCUCACAGUCAUGCAACCAGCAGGUGGUGAAACACACCUCCAAGCUGCCUGCCUCCUAAGCAUCAAGCUUUGUGGCCCAGGAUCUACUUCAUGCUCCAAAUAUUCAUGGACCUUCCCAGGACCUCAACAAAACAAAACCAUGAAGAAAAACCUUGACAUGAACCCCAAAAAAACCCAGUCAGCAAUAUUUUAAGUUAAAUUUUGAAACAAAUCCAAACGGGUUCCUCCCCAUAAAUCUACCAGUAAAUUGUGCAGAAUCAGAACUGAAGCCAUGCCCUUUCUUAAAGUAUUGAAUUAGAAUAAAUGAGAACAUCUAAAUAUUUUCCAAAUUCAUAUUCCAGUUAUAAUAUUCAAGUUUCUUAGUUUCUCUCUGUUCACAUUCAACAUGAAAUAGUCCCAUUAGUCAGUAGCAAGAGCUGCAACAUUUCUACAGGUACUAAAGGAUGUGAUCAGAGCAGGGAAGAUGGCCAACAAGAUGAUGCCACUCUAGCGGGUGCCCAUCCAAAUCAUAACCCAUGAAUACUGCGGCUUUAUUAUCUUGGACAACAGAAAGCUGAUCUUGUAAUUGGAUGAUCACCCCUGCUUGCAUGCUUUCGAGUAGUUACGUAUGACAAAAGGAGCUACUGGUUUUGUGAUGAUGGGUUUCUGGGUAAACCCUAGAUGCAGAAGCAGCUUUUAAGCAUAGCAGAGCAAGAGUCAAAUGGUUCUGAAAAAAGUUUUAACUCUGAGAUGACUUCUCCCCGCUUCUUUCACUCUACCCUCUCAAUCCUAGAGCAAGUGAGCAGAGUAGGUAAAGCUGUUUCCUCCAGAAAGAUGAUCCAUAUUUUAAACAGCUCUGUGAAUGGGGCACUAAGACUCAGAAGAUCUGGUUUUCAGUUCGCAUUCUGCCUUUAACUGGUCUUGAAAGUUUGGGCAACUCAAUUAUCUCAUGGAGUCAGUAUUUGCAUCUGUACAGUGGGGAUAUGAAUACCUGUCUUACCUACACGGAGCUGUAAGAGCAACAGAAUGUGAGCUGGCAUGAUGUUAUUAUAUGUAUCACCUUGGUUAUUUUAAAACAUGCUUGAUGUAUUAGC